UAAGACGUAGGGUCCAAGCGUUGUCCGGAUUUACUGGGCGUAAAGAGCGCGUAGGCGGUCCGUUAAGUGUAGAGUGAAAGCUCCGGGCUCAACUCGGAAAUUGCUCUGCAUACUGGCGGACUCGAGGACGGAAGAGGUUUGUGGAAUUCCUGGUGUAGCGGUGAAAUGCGUAGAUAUCAGGAGGAACACCCAUGGCGAAGGCAGCAAACUGGUCCGUAUCUGACGCUGAGGCGCGAAAGCGUGGGUAGCAAACAGGAUUAGAUACCCUGGUAGUCCACGCCCUAAACGAUGGAUACUAGGCGUGAGAGGUAUCGACCCCUCUCGUGCCGCAGCUAACGCACUAAGUAUCCCGCCUGGGGAGUACGGCCGCAAGGUUG
RNAcentral lists this ribosomal RNA (377 nucleotides) under uncultured bacterium. RNAcentral's name for it is "bacterial SSU rRNA". It matches the Rfam family "Bacterial small subunit ribosomal RNA", at positions 521 to 896 of the family's 1533-position model. The record is from RNAcentral.